This 199-nucleotide long non-coding RNA is filed under the name Lathyrus oleraceus (garden pea). RNAcentral describes it as "Pisum sativum (pea) long non-coding RNA (PSAT_LNC030135)". The record is from RNAcentral. Lineage: Eukaryota; Viridiplantae; Streptophyta; Magnoliopsida; Fabales; Fabaceae.
CCUUUUUAACUUUUGCCUUAAUUUUUUAUUUUAUGGAAGCGCUUCUGAAUCACCAAGAGCGCUUGGCUCAGUUGGUGAGGGAGUUGACCUUGUGACCCCAAGGUCAAAUUCAACCCCCAGCGCACCCACUUUGCUUUAUUUUGUUUCUUUUUCCUUUCUUUUAUUUAUUUUCCACCUAUUUAUCUCUCUUUCAUUUUAU